CCCUUAGAUGUUCUGGGCCGCACGCGCGCUACACUGAUGCAUUCAACGAGUUUCUUCCUGGUCCGAGAGGAAUGGGUAACCUUUUGAAAGUGCAUCGUGAUAGGGAUAGACUAUUGCAAUUAAUGGUCUUCAACGAGGAAUUCCUAGUAGACGUAGUUCAUCAGACUGCAUCGAUUACGUCCCUGCCCUUUGUACACACCGCCCGUCGCUCCUACCGAUUGAAUGCUCAGGUGAGCCAUUCGGACUUUCAUCAUGCUGGUUUCCAGUUUUGAUGAAGGAAAGUCUUGCGAACCUUAUCAUUUAGAGGAAGGAGAAGUCGUAACA
This 324-nucleotide ribosomal RNA is filed under the name uncultured eukaryote. Its description in RNAcentral is "partial 18S ribosomal RNA". It matches the Rfam family "Eukaryotic small subunit ribosomal RNA", at positions 1470 to 1796 of the family's 1831-position model. The record is from RNAcentral.